RNAcentral lists this ribosomal RNA (417 nucleotides) under Triticum aestivum (bread wheat). Its description in RNAcentral is "partial small subunit ribosomal RNA". Lineage: Eukaryota; Viridiplantae; Streptophyta; Magnoliopsida; Poales; Poaceae. The record is from RNAcentral.
AUGUUCUGUUUAUUGAUGAUUUCUCUCGCUACACUUGGCUUUACUUUACGAAAUCUCGUAGCGAGGUUCUCUCUAUAUACAAACGAGCUACCAUGGUUCACACCUAGUUUUCCACGCCUAUUCGUACUUUUUGUGCUGACUCCGCUAGAGUAUAUCUCCCAGAUGUUGCGUAGUUUUCUCGCGGAAUAUGGUACUCUUGCCCAGUUCUCCUGUCCUGGUGCCCAUGCUCAAAAUGGUGUUGGGGAACGUAAGCAUCGUCAUCUGCUUGAGACGGCUCAUGCGUUGAUGAUCGCCGCUUCGCUUCCACCCCACUUUUGGGCUAAGGCCGUUUCCGCAUCCACCUAUCAUCAACAUUCAGCCAUCGACUGCCUUGCAGGGUGGUAUUCCUAUGGUGUGUCUCACUGGUCGUUGUCCUGA